Molecule: long non-coding RNA, 238 nt
Organism: Perca fluviatilis (European perch)
Lineage: Eukaryota; Metazoa; Chordata; Actinopteri; Perciformes; Percidae
Exons: 3
Source: RefSeq, a predicted model, not a curated record
CACCCCCCCACCCCUGAACCCACCUCUGAGGAAGUGCAAACCUCUGACCUGGAAUACAAAUCAGAUGUGGACCUUUUGGGAGUGAUUAGUUUGAGAAGGCCUGUCUUAAAGGAUUCAAGGUAUCCCGAGCGUGAGGAGUAGGCGCUGUAAAGCUGCUCGUCCUGCCGCAGCCAAUGUCAACAGCCCAGUGCAUAACUUCCCAUGAGCCUUUUCCCCUAGAAGGUAACUGGGAAGCUGC